Molecule: ribosomal RNA, 336 nt
Filed under: Triticum aestivum (bread wheat)
Lineage: Eukaryota; Viridiplantae; Streptophyta; Magnoliopsida; Poales; Poaceae
Description: partial small subunit ribosomal RNA
Source: RNAcentral
AUGCUAGACAGAAACAUCCUAGAAGGGGUGGUAGUCCUUCAUGAAACUCUCUAUGAAAUCCAUACGAAAAAACUAGAUGGGGUGGUUUUCAAAGUGGAUUUUGAGAAAGCGUACGAUAAGGUAAAAUGUCUUCAGCAGGCCUUGCGUAUGAAAGGUUUCGAUCAGUCCUGGAGAAACCAGGCAGACUCUUUCACGCAAAAAGAGAGUGUUGGAAUCAAAGUGAAUGAUGACAUAGGUCAUUACUUCCAGACACACAAGGGUUUAAGGCAAGGAGACCCGAUGUCACCGAUUCUGUUCAACAUAGUGGUCGACAUGUUGACAAUCCUAAUAGGAAGG